CCCAACUGUCUGUCCCCACGCCCACGGCAUACCCUUCGUUUCCACCUCCCGACCGUAAUGUCAAAACAAAAAACGCAGCAGUCGCACCCGCUGCCGCCCGUGAUGGCGAGGGGGCGGCGGCCUGCCCAGGCCGACAGAGGCGCCGCGGCCGUACGAGCUGGUGUUCGCGGAGGCGGAGCUCCGCUCCAUGGACUGCAACCUCUCGACGCUCUGCGACAACGUCCAGGCAGAGGGAUUCGGCUCUAGCGGCUUCUCCAAUGCCGUUGUCAAGGCCAUGGGCGUCACCUACCGUCUUCACCGUCUCCUCAUCUCCCGCAACACCUAUUUUAGGCAAGCCAAUGUUACAGAUCCAGCCAGUAUAACUUGACUUCAGUGGACAUGUACUUCUCUCCGUGUUGUUUGCAGGCAAGGCAUUGUUACAGAUCUAGCCAAAUUAAAUUAACAUGUUUGUUCUCCUCAUAUUCCCUAUCUAAUGGCUGGUUGUACGUGGGAUGUGGCUUGGGCAAAAUAUUAUUUUCGUAAUUGUUCAACCAUUUGAAUGUUUAUGGCACAUGUAAUUUUUUGUACACAAGUAUCAACUGUAUAUAGUGUUGAUGAAAGUCUGAGGUAUGUUCUCCACAUUAAAAAAUAUAGAUAAGUUCAAUUGAGCUAUCUGGAUUGAUGUCUUUCUUAUGUUUACAAUAUGUAUAUCAUUGUAUCAUGACCCGUGUAGCUGUAUGCCCAUGAAAUAUUUGGUAAUAACAGUAUUGAGCA
Triticum aestivum (bread wheat) is the source of this 753-nucleotide long non-coding RNA. RefSeq lists it as uncharacterized. NCBI's taxonomy places the organism in Eukaryota, Viridiplantae, Streptophyta, Magnoliopsida, Poales, Poaceae. The record is from RefSeq and is a predicted model, not a curated record. The transcript is spliced from 2 exons.